This 368-nucleotide ribosomal RNA is filed under the name Photobacterium damselae. Its description in RNAcentral is "bacterial SSU rRNA". It matches the Rfam family "Bacterial small subunit ribosomal RNA", at positions 1177 to 1533 of the family's 1533-position model. The record is from RNAcentral. Lineage: Bacteria; Pseudomonadati; Pseudomonadota; Gammaproteobacteria; Vibrionales; Vibrionaceae.
GGACGACGUCAAGUCAUCAUGGCCCUUACGAGUAGGGCUACACACGUGCUACAAUGGCAUAUACAGAGGGCAGCAAGACCGCGAGGUGGAGCGAAUCCCAGAAAGUAUGUCGUAGUCCGGAUCGGAGUCUGCAACUCGACUCCGUGAAGUCGGAAUCGCUAGUAAUCGUGGAUCAGAAUGCCACGGUGAAUACGUUCCCGGGCCUUGUACACACCGCCCGUCACACCAUGGGAGUGGGCUGCACCAGAAGUAGAUAGCUUAACCUUCGGGAGGGCGUUUACCACGGUGUGGUUCAUGACUGGGGUGAAGUCGUAACAAGGUAGCCCUAGGGGAACCUGGGGCUGGAUCACCUCCUUACAAAAAAGAUU